AAAAAAAAAAAAAAAAAUAUUGUGAUACUUCCCUGAGACUUGGUAGGAAUAUUAACAUGCAUUAAUUCCUUCUUUCAUUUCCUUUCACAGGAGAGACAGUAGCCAAUGGUGAUGACACUGAAGCACAUCAUAGCACGCUCUCGCACAGUAGUAAAGAGGGAUCACCAACAAAAGACACCUCCCUAACAGAUGACUCCAUCUCAAAGGAUAAGAAAAAGAAGAAGAAAGGUCUUCGCACCCCCAGCUUUCUUAAGAAGAAAAAGGAUAAGAAGAAGGAGAAAGAGGCUGCCCACCAUUAGUGCCCACAUUUUUCUCUUGAACUUCAACUCAUGUCUCUGGUAGACCAAUGCUGACACUGCCAGAAGUUGUAGAUAGCGAAAAACAAACAAA
Long non-coding RNA from Macrobrachium nipponense, 390 nucleotides. RefSeq lists it as uncharacterized. The record is from RefSeq and is a predicted model, not a curated record. NCBI's taxonomy places the organism in Eukaryota, Metazoa, Arthropoda, Malacostraca, Decapoda, Palaemonidae. The transcript is spliced from 3 exons.